GUGUGCGUUUGUGAAGUGAGAGCAUGGGAUAGUUUUUCCCAUCUUUUCCUCUCUUUUAUUUCCCAGGAGAUAUUCUCUCCUUUAUUUCUCCUCUCUCUCGGCCGACACUCUCUCUCUCUAGCUCUCACCUCUCCCUCAUCUUCUCUCCUCAAUUUCACCUCCAUGGAGUAUGAUUCCGAACAAAGUCCGAGAAUUAAAGUUGUUCUACGGAACGAGGGCUACCUAUCCAUCCAAGAAAAAUUACGAUCGGAUCACGUAGGAGUUUCGGUUUCGCUUGGAUCUUUGGGGUUUUGCUCAAAAUCCAUGAGGUACACUACAUGGACACAAUUUUGGAGGGUGUGAAGUGCAUGCAGACAUCACAGGUUAAAGUUAUUUUCUGAAGAACUUGUCUUUCCCUUGUAAAUCAAACUGUAUUGUACUAUUUUCUCAAAUUUGGAAUACUGUAUCAGUUGACAAAAUUGUGAGAUUUAGAAACUGUAUGUUGUAAUUUGGGGUACCGUAUGUACUAUUGUGAGGAUUUGUAUUUAAAAUGGUAUUGUUAUUUAUGUUAAAAA
This is a long non-coding RNA of Rhododendron vialii, 554 nucleotides long. RefSeq lists it as uncharacterized. The transcript is spliced from 2 exons. The record is from RefSeq and is a predicted model, not a curated record. Lineage: Eukaryota; Viridiplantae; Streptophyta; Magnoliopsida; Ericales; Ericaceae.